UACGGAGGAGGCAAGCGUUAUCCGGAAUUAUUGGGCGUAAAGCGUCCGCAGGUGGCACCUCAAGUCUGCUGUCAAAGACCGGGGCUUAACCCCAGAAAGGCAGUGGAAACUGAAGUGCUAGAGUGGCAGUAGGGGUAGAGGGAAUUCCCGGUGGUAGCGGUGGAAAUGCGUAGAGAUCGGGAAGAACAUCGGUGGCGAAAGCGCUCUGCUGGACUGCAACUGACACUCAGGGACGAAAGCUAGGGGAGCGAAUGGG
This 256-nucleotide ribosomal RNA is filed under the name uncultured bacterium. RNAcentral describes it as "partial 16S ribosomal RNA". It matches the Rfam family "Bacterial small subunit ribosomal RNA", at positions 524 to 776 of the family's 1533-position model. The record is from RNAcentral.